GGGAUUUUCCGGUUGAUCCCGCCGGACCUGACUGCUAUCGGAUUGAUACUAAGCCAUGCGAGUCAUUGUAGCGAUACAAGGCAGACGGCUCAGUAACGCGUAGUCAACCUAACCUAUGGACGGGAAUAACCUCGGGAAACUGAGAAUAAUGCCCGAUAGAACACUAUAUCUGGAAUGGUUUGUGUUCCAAAUGAUUUAUCGCCGUAGGAUGGGACUGCGGCCUAUCAGUUUGUUGGUGAGGUAAUGGCCCACCAAGACUAUUACAGGUACGGGCUCUGAGAGGAGUAGCCCGGAGAUGGGUACUGAGACACGGACCCAGGCCCUAUGGGGCGCAGCAGGCGAGAAAACUUUGCAAUGUGCGAAAGCACGACAAGGUUAAUCCGAGUGGUUUCUGCUAAAGGAACCUUUUGUCGGUCCUAGAAACACCGAUGAAUAAGGGGUGGGCAAGUUCUGGUGUCAGCCGCCGCGGUAAAACCAGCACCUCAAGUGGUCAGGAUGAUUAUUGGGCCUAAAGCAUCCGUAGCCUGCUUUGUUAGUUUUCGGUUAAAUCUAUACGCUCAACGUAUAGGCUGCCGGGAAUACUGCAAAGCUAGGGAGUGGGAGAGGUAGACGGUACUCGGUAGGAAGGGGUAAAAUCCUUUGAUCUAUUGAUGACCACCUGUGGCGAAGGCGGUCUGCCAGAACACGUCCGACGGUGAGGGAUGAAAGCUGGGGGAGCAAACCGGAUUAGAUACCCGGGUAGUCCCAGCCGUAAACCAUGCAAACUCAGUGAUGCAUUGGCUUGUGGCCAAUGCAGUGCUGCAGGGAAGCCGUUAAGUUUGCCGCCUGGGAAGUACGUACGCAAGUAUGAGACUUAAAGGAAUUGGCGGGGGAGCACCACAAGGGGUGAAGCCUGCGGUUCAAUUGGAUUCAACGCCGGA
RNAcentral lists this ribosomal RNA (920 nucleotides) under uncultured archaeon. Its description in RNAcentral is "bacterial SSU rRNA". It matches the Rfam family "Archaeal small subunit ribosomal RNA", at positions 1 to 922 of the family's 1478-position model. The record is from RNAcentral.